AACGAACGCUGGCGGCAGGCCUAACACAUGCAAGUCGAACGCCCCGCAGGGGGAGUGGCAGACGGGUGAGUAACACGUGGGAACAUGCCCUUUGGUUCGGAAUAACUCAGGGAAACUUGAGCUAAUACCGGAUAAGUCCGCGAGGAGAAAGAUUUAUCGCCGAAGGAUUGGCCCGCGUCUGAUUAGCUUGUUGGUGAGGUAAUGGCUCACCAAGGCGACGAUCAGUAGCUGGUCUGAGAGGAUGAUCAGCCACAUUGGGACUGAGACACGGCCCAAACUCCUACGGGAGGCAGCAGUGGGGAAUAUUGGACAAUGGGCGCAAGCCUGAUCCAGCCAUGCCGCGUGAGUGAUGACGGCCUUAGGGUUGUAAAGCUCUUUUGCCCGGGAAGAUAAUGACGGUACCGGGAGAAUAAGCCCCGGCUAACUUCGUGCCAGCCGCCGCGGUAA
This 447-nucleotide ribosomal RNA is filed under the name uncultured bacterium. RNAcentral's name for it is "partial 16S ribosomal RNA". It matches the Rfam family "Bacterial small subunit ribosomal RNA", at positions 29 to 523 of the family's 1533-position model. The record is from RNAcentral.